UACGUAGGUGGCAAGCGUUGUCCGGAAUUAUUGGGCGUAAAGCGCGCGCAGGUGGUUUCUUAAGUCUGAUGUGAAAGCCCACGGCUCAACCGUGGAGGGUCAUUGGAAACUGGGGAACUUGAGUGCAGGAGAGAAGAGUGGAAUUCCACGUGUAGCGGUGAAAUGCGUAGAGAUGUGGAGGAACACCCGUGGCGAAGGCGGCUCUCUGGGACGGUACUGACGCUGAGACGCGAAAGCGUGGGGAGCGAACAGG
RNAcentral lists this ribosomal RNA (253 nucleotides) under uncultured bacterium. RNAcentral's name for it is "partial 16S ribosomal RNA". It matches the Rfam family "Bacterial small subunit ribosomal RNA", at positions 524 to 776 of the family's 1533-position model. The record is from RNAcentral.